GUAACAGUAGUGGAAACAAAAGCUCCUUCUUUAUUCACAGGCUAAAUACAGCAUACAGCAGCUGCACUACAGGCUAAACCCGUAUUAUCCUCUUUACGACCUCAGUUUUGACCUUAGACAGGGUUUCAUGCUCCACUUAAAAGCAGAUAGUAUUUUUGUUUCUAACCUGACUUCUCAUGAGGCUCUU
Apteryx haastii (Great spotted kiwi) is the source of this 187-nucleotide unclassified non-coding RNA. The record is from Ensembl. Lineage: Eukaryota; Metazoa; Chordata; Aves; Apterygiformes; Apterygidae.